GCUGGGCGUGGUGGUGUGUGCCUGUAGUCCCAGCUACUCGGGAGGCUGAGGCAGGAGAAUCGCUUGAACCCAGGAAGUGGAGGUUGCAGUGAGCUGAGCUCCCUCCACUGCACUCCAGCCUGGGUGAAAGAGCGAGACUCUGUCUUAA
Callithrix jacchus (white-tufted-ear marmoset) is the source of this 148-nucleotide unclassified non-coding RNA. It matches the Rfam family "Metazoan signal recognition particle RNA". Rfam says of the family: The signal recognition particle (SRP) is a universally conserved ribonucleoprotein. It is involved in the co-translational targeting of proteins to membranes. The record is from Ensembl. Lineage: Eukaryota; Metazoa; Chordata; Mammalia; Primates; Cebidae.